GGCGGUACCUGAAGAAAGAGCAUCGGCUAACUCCGUGCCAGCAGCCGCGGUAAUACGGAGGAUGCAAGCGUUAUCCGGAAUCAUUGGGCGUAAAGGGUCCGCAGGUGGCGAAUAAAGUCUGCUGUUAAAGACCGGGGCUAAACUCCGGAAAGGCAGUGGAAACUGAUUAGCUAGAGUACGGUAGGGGUAGAGGGAAUUCCCAGUGUAGCGGUGUAAUGCGUAGAUAUUGGGAAGAACACCGGUGGCGAAAGCGCUCUACUAGGCCGAAACUGACACUGAGGGACGAAAGCUAGGGUAGCGAAAGGGAUUAGAUACCCCUGUAGUCUUAGCUGUAAACGAUGGAUACUAGGCGUAGCUUGUAUCGACCCGAGCUGUGCCGAAGCUAACGCGAUAAGUAUCCCGCCUGGGGAGUACGCACGCAAGUGUGAAACUCAAAGGAAUUGACGGGGGUCCGCACAAGCGGUGGAGUAUGUGGUUUAAUUCGAUGCAACGCGAAGAACCUUACCAGGGCUAGACAUGUCGCGAAUCUGGCGGAAACGUUAGAGUGCCUUAGGGAACGCGAACACAGGUGGUGCAUGGCCGUCGUCAGCUCGUGUCGUGAGAUGUUGGGUUAAGUCCCGCAACGAGCGCAACCCUCGUCCUUAGUUGCCAAUAUUAAGUUAGGCACUCUAGGGAGACUGCCGGGGACAACUCGGAGGAAGGUGGGGAUGACGUCAAGUCAGCAUGCCCCUUACGUCCUGGGCGACACACGUACUACAAUGGUUGGGACAAAGGGCAGCAAGCUCGCGAGAGUAAGCGAAUCUCAUCAAACCCAGCCACAGUUCAGAUUGCAGGCUGCAACUCGCCUGCAUGAAGUAGGAAUCGCUAGUAAUCGCAGGUCAGCAUACUGCGGUGAAUUCGUUCCCGGGCCUUGUACACACCGCCCGUCACACCAUGGAAGCUGGCUACGCCCGAAGUCGUUACCCUAACCCGGUUUUGGGAGGGGGAUGCCGAAGGUAGAGCUAGUGACUGGGGUGAAGUCGUAACAAGGUAGCCGUACCGGAAGGUGUGGCUGGAUCACCUCCUUU
RNAcentral lists this ribosomal RNA (1067 nucleotides) under uncultured cyanobacterium. Its description in RNAcentral is "bacterial SSU rRNA". It matches the Rfam family "Bacterial small subunit ribosomal RNA", at positions 471 to 1533 of the family's 1533-position model. The record is from RNAcentral. Lineage: Bacteria; Bacillati; Cyanobacteriota.